RNAcentral lists this unclassified non-coding RNA (255 nucleotides) under Basidiomycota sp. RNAcentral describes it as "partial contains small subunit ribosomal RNA, internal transcribed spacer 1, and 5.8S ribosomal RNA". The stretch from base 1 to 47 matches the Rfam family "Eukaryotic small subunit ribosomal RNA", at positions 1785 to 1831 of the family's 1831-position model. The record is from RNAcentral. Lineage: Eukaryota; Fungi; Basidiomycota.
AAAGUCGUAACAAGGUUUCCGUAGGUGAACCUGCGGAAGGAUCAUUACCAAAUCCAAAUUCUUAACCCCAUGUGAACUAUUGUUUUAGUCUGUCUUUGGGAGAAGAAUUAAUUUUUUUCUCCCAAUAGAGUCCGGCAUAACUUUAUUGUUGUGUCCAGAUUCGAAAACCCAUAAACCACUUGAUUUUUCUGUUGGAAUUACUUUUAUUAAUUUUUCAAUAAAAGACAACUUUUAACGGCGGAUCUCUUGGCUCGU